GACGAACGCUGGCGGCGUGCUUAACACAUGCAAGUCGAACGAAGAGCGAUGGAAGCUUGCUUCUAUCAAUCUUAGUGGCGAACGGGUGAGUAACGCGUAAUCAACCUGCCCUUCAGAGGGGGACAACAGUUGGAAACGACUGCUAAUACCGCAUACGAUCUAACCUCGGCAUCGAGGAUGGAUGAAAGGUGGCCUCUAUUUAUAAGCUAUCACUGAAGGAGGGGAUUGCGUCUGAUUAGCUAGUUGGAGGGGUAACGGCCCACCAAGGCGAUGAUCAGUAGCCGGUCUGAGAGGAUGAACGGCCACAUUGGGACUGAGACACGGCCCAGACUCCUACGGGAGGCAGCAGUGGGGAAUCUUCCGCAAUGGACGAAAGUCUGACGGAGCAACGCCGCGUGAGUGAGGACGGCCUUCGGGUUGUAAAGCUCUGUUAAUCGGGACGAAAGGCCUUCUUGCGAAUAGUUAGAAGGAUUGACGGUACCGGAAUAGAAAGCCACGGCUAACUACGUG
RNAcentral lists this ribosomal RNA (510 nucleotides) under uncultured bacterium. RNAcentral's name for it is "partial 16S ribosomal RNA". It matches the Rfam family "Bacterial small subunit ribosomal RNA", at positions 28 to 507 of the family's 1533-position model. The record is from RNAcentral.